This 253-nucleotide ribosomal RNA is filed under the name uncultured bacterium. Its description in RNAcentral is "partial 16S ribosomal RNA". It matches the Rfam family "Bacterial small subunit ribosomal RNA", at positions 524 to 776 of the family's 1533-position model. The record is from RNAcentral.
UACGGAGGGUGCAAGCGUUAUCCGGAUUCACUGGGUUUAAAGGGUGCGUAGGUGGGCUGGUAAGUCAGUGGUGAAAUCUCCAGGCUUAACUUGGAAACUGCCAUUGAUACUAUCAGUCUUGAAUACCGUGGAGGUCAGCGGAAUAUGUCAUGUAGCGGUGAAAUGCUCAGAUAUGACAUAGAACACCAAUUGCGAAGGCAGCUGGCUACACGAAUAUUGACACUGAUGCACGAAAGCGUGGGGAUCAAACAGG